Molecule: ribosomal RNA, 154 nt
Filed under: uncultured bacterium
Lineage: Bacteria
Description: partial 16S ribosomal RNA
Rfam family: Bacterial small subunit ribosomal RNA
Source: RNAcentral
UGGACGCAGCCUGAUCAGCCAUGCCGCGUGAGUGAUGAAGGCCUUAGGGUUGUAAAGCUCUUUUACCCGGGAAGAAAAUGACGGUACCCGUAGAAUAAGCCCCGGCUAACUCCAUGCCAGCACCCGCGGUAAUGUGCCAGCAGCCGCGGUAAUA